Molecule: ribosomal RNA, 364 nt
Filed under: uncultured Roseateles sp.
Lineage: Bacteria; Pseudomonadati; Pseudomonadota; Betaproteobacteria; Burkholderiales; Sphaerotilaceae
Description: bacterial SSU rRNA
Rfam family: Bacterial small subunit ribosomal RNA
Source: RNAcentral
AGGUUAAGCUGACGAGUGGCGAACGGGUGAGUAAUAUAUCGGAACGUGCCCAGUUGUGGGGGAUAACUACUCGAAAGAGUGGCUAAUACCGCAUACGACCUGAGGGUGAAAGCGGGGGAUCGCAAGACCUCGCGCAAUUGGAGCGGCCGAUAUCAGAUUAGCUAGUUGGUGGGGUAAAAGCCCACCAAGGCGACGAUCUGUAGCUGGUCUGAGAGGACGACCAGCCACACUGGGACUGAGACACGGCCCAGACUCCUACGGGAGGCAGCAGUGGGGAAUUUUGGACAAUGGACGCAAGUCUGAUCCAGCCAUGCCGCGUGUGGGAAGAAGGCCUUCGGGUUGUAAACCACUUUUGUCAGGGAAG